UUUGGCGGGCCGCGGUCCUCCGCGGCCGCCCCCCUCCCCGGGGGGGUGGCCAGCGCCCGCCAGAGGACCAUCAAACUCCAGUCAGUAAACGAUGCAGUCUGAAAAACAUUUAAUAAACUAAAACUUUCAACAACGGAUCUCUUGGUUCUGGCAUCGAUGAAGAACGCAGCGAAAUGCGAUAAGUAAUGUGAAUUGCAGAAUUCAGUGAAUCAUCGAAUCUUUGAACGCACAUUGCGCCCUUUGGUAUUCCGAAGGGCAUGCCUGUUCGAGCGUCAUUACAACCCUCAAGCUCUGCUUGGUAUUGGGCACCGUCCUUUGCGGGCGCGCCUCAAAGACCUCGGCGGUGGCGUCUUGCCUCAAGCGUAGUAGAACAUACAUCUCGCUUCGGAGCGCAGGGCGUCGCCCGCCGGACGAACCUUCUGAACUUUUCUCAAGGUUGACCUCGGAUCAGGUAGGGAUACCCGCUGAACUUAAGCAUA
RNAcentral lists this ribosomal RNA (479 nucleotides) under Botryosphaeria sp. XSH25. Its description in RNAcentral is "eukaryotic LSU rRNA". The stretch from base 122 to 275 matches the Rfam family "5.8S ribosomal RNA". The record is from RNAcentral. Lineage: Eukaryota; Fungi; Ascomycota; Dothideomycetes; Botryosphaeriales; Botryosphaeriaceae.